UGUUACAAAGGAAUAGUGUGGAUGAAAAUAAGAAAAGAAUUCACCAGAGGUACAGAACUGCAAACCAAUUUGAAUGGUGUUCUCAUUUUCUACCACAAGCUUUCCCCCUGAGAAACCAAGUUCAAAAUCAUCAGCAAAACAUGAUUACCCAGCACCUAAUAGGAAUACAGAUGAGGAGGAGCAAAUUGGAUAUGAGAGGGAAGUGAACAGAGAAACACAAUGGAGGAGGUAUGUGUGUGUGACUGGUGUACAUGACCCAGAGGGAGUCCAUUAGAAAGAACAUUCAAAAGUUUACCAACUUCACUGAGGAUGAGGAUGAAAACACUUGCAGCUUUGUUCUCCUCUCUGAACAUGCAGAACACAGAGACACAGCAAGCCACGCCUAGGUGGAGAGCCAAACCUAAGCCAGGAUUCUUACUCCUUCUCGUCUAGUGACUGGUAUCGUCAGUUAAAGAGCAAACACUUCUGCCUGUGAACUGGCUCAGGCUGGUGUCAAGGGCAUAUGGAGAACAAAGAGCUGAUGAAGAAAAUGAGAUUUAGAGGAGAAGUGAUAUGCCCAUCAUCACAUGGACUCCAAAAUAUAAAAAUGGAAUUUGAAUUCAAACCUGUGACUCCAAAUCCAUUGCUCUUUCCUCUACAUCAAUAUUAUCUUUAAAUCAUGGGAAAAAAAUAAGGACUUACUAUAUUCCUAGGAUGGUUCCAGAGGUUGUAGAAAAUAUAAAAGAAAAAUAA
Molecule: long non-coding RNA, 732 nt
Organism: Antechinus flavipes (yellow-footed antechinus)
Lineage: Eukaryota; Metazoa; Chordata; Mammalia; Dasyuromorphia; Dasyuridae
Exons: 2
Source: RefSeq, a predicted model, not a curated record